UUGCUCCCUUCAGCAGCACAUAUACUAAAAUUGGAAUGAUACAGAGAAGAUUAGCUUGGCCCCUGUGCAAGGAUGACACGCAAAUUCUUGAAAAAAAAAAAAAAAGA
RNAcentral lists this small nuclear RNA (107 nucleotides) under Myotis brandtii (Brandt's bat). The record is from RNAcentral. Lineage: Eukaryota; Metazoa; Chordata; Mammalia; Chiroptera; Vespertilionidae.